Molecule: ribosomal RNA, 602 nt
Filed under: uncultured bacterium
Lineage: Bacteria
Description: bacterial SSU rRNA
Rfam family: Bacterial small subunit ribosomal RNA
Source: RNAcentral
CCUACGGGAGGCAGCAGUAGGGAAUAUUGGUCAAUGGGCGAGAGCCUGAACCAGCCAUGCCGCGUGCAGGAAGAAGGCCCUCUGGGUUGUAAACUGCUUUUGACAGGGGCCAAAAUACUCAUGCGUGAGGAAUUGAGAGUACCUGUAGAAUAAGCACCGGCUAACUCCGUGCCAGCAGCCGCGGUAAUACGGAGGGUGCAAGCGUUGUCCGGAUUUAUGGGUUUAAAGGGUGCGUAGGUGCCUUAUAAGUCAGUGGUGAAAGCCUGCAGCUUAACUGUAGGACUGCCAUUGAUACUGUAGGGCUUGAGUACUGAUGAGGUAGGCGGAAUUGAUAGUGUAGCGGUGAAAUGCAUAGAUAUUAUCAAGAACACCGAUUGCGAAGGCAGCUUACUAAGGAGUUACUGACACUGAGGCACGAAAGCGUGGGGAUCAAACAGGAUUAGAUACCCUGGUAGUCCACGCCAUAAACGAUGAUUACUCGAUGUAUGCGAUAGAUAGUAUGCGUCCAAGCGAAAGCGUUAAGUAAUCACCUGGGAGUACGACCGCAAGUUGAAACGUCAANAGAGUAGAGCGNGAGAGNGCGAGGCGACACGAGGGAGGAG